ACGGCACAUGCAUGAAACAUUAAAUAUAGAUAAAAGAAAUAACUAAUUACAUAGUUAACUGUAAUUUGCGGGACUAACCUUUUGAGCCUAGUUAGUCCAUGAUUGGAUAAUAUUUGUCAAAUACAAACGAAAGUGCUACAGUGUCAAUUUUGCAAAAAAAAAGAAACUAAAUAAGGCCAUAAUAAAAUUCGUGGACUUUCGUUUGUAGCACUUUCGAGAAUAUAUCUCUACAACUAAAAAUUAUGAAGAGGACCCGUCUACCACACCCGUGGCGAAACUGUGACUCCCGUCCUCUUCGGUGGUCUUUUUUACUCGAUUCAUCCUAUCUCUGCACCAUAGGCAAGGAGCAGAAAAGGAUAAGUGCGCAUAGAUGACAGGCUAUUCCAUCAACGCAGGACCCAUUUACCCACACAUGCAAAAAUAUUUUUAACGAAUUAAAAAAGUCAUAGCUCCUAAACCGAAGAUCUAAAUUAAAUCCUGAUUACACCAUUAAAUUUCUUAUAAUAAAUCCUUCGAAACAAGAUCACACAUGGAAUAUUUAGAUAAAAUUUUAUUAAUGAAUAUUUAUCUUAUAAAGAUAAAAUAUUUUCUUUUAUUAAGUAGAAACAAUGUUCUAGGUUCAACAGACAAUGUUCCAUCUUUGUAAGAAAAAUGUUAUCGAUUUAGAAGAAUAAUAUUAUGGUUUUAGGUUUAUGAAAUCGAUACUACAAUAUACAUAAAAAUAAAUAAAUACAUGACAUAGAUAAAAAUAAUAAUAAUCUAGAGCAAAAAGCAUAAGAAAAAAAGAAAACACAUAAUAGAGAAAAAAUUCAAAGAAUAUCAAAGUGUUACUUUUCAAAUAUCAUAAAUAUAGUUUUAGACUAUUACAAAAGGCAUCAUUUCAAGCUUGCACCUCACCACAAC
Molecule: long non-coding RNA, 903 nt
Filed under: Sorghum bicolor (sorghum)
Lineage: Eukaryota; Viridiplantae; Streptophyta; Magnoliopsida; Poales; Poaceae
Description: long non-coding RNA (SBIC_LNC011936)
Source: RNAcentral